RNAcentral lists this ribosomal RNA (1539 nucleotides) under Salmonella enterica subsp. enterica serovar Newport. RNAcentral's name for it is "bacterial SSU rRNA". It matches the Rfam family "Bacterial small subunit ribosomal RNA". The record is from RNAcentral. Lineage: Bacteria; Pseudomonadati; Pseudomonadota; Gammaproteobacteria; Enterobacterales; Enterobacteriaceae.
AAAUUGAAGAGUUUGAUCAUGGCUCAGAUUGAACGCUGGCGGCAGGCCUAACACAUGCAAGUCGAACGGUAACAGGAAGCAGCUUGCUGCUUCGCUGACGAGUGGCGGACGGGUGAGUAAUGUCUGGGAAACUGCCUGAUGGAGGGGGAUAACUACUGGAAACGGUGGCUAAUACCGCAUAACGUCGCAAGACCAAAGAGGGGGACCUUCGGGCCUCUUGCCAUCAGAUGUGCCCAGAUGGGAUUAGCUAGUUGGUGAGGUAACGGCUCACCAAGGCGACGAUCCCUAGCUGGUCUGAGAGGAUGACCAGCCACACUGGAACUGAGACACGGUCCAGACUCCUACGGGAGGCAGCAGUGGGGAAUAUUGCACAAUGGGCGCAAGCCUGAUGCAGCCAUGCCGCGUGUAUGAAGAAGGCCUUCGGGUUGUAAAGUACUUUCAGCGGGGAGGAAGGUGUUGUGGUUAAUAACCACAGCAAUUGACGUUACCCGCAGAAGAAGCACCGGCUAACUCCGUGCCAGCAGCCGCGGUAAUACGGAGGGUGCAAGCGUUAAUCGGAAUUACUGGGCGUAAAGCGCACGCAGGCGGUCUGUCAAGUCGGAUGUGAAAUCCCCGGGCUCAACCUGGGAACUGCAUUCGAAACUGGCAGGCUUGAGUCUUGUAGAGGGGGUAGAAUUCCAGGUGUAGCGGUGAAAUGCGUAGAGAUCUGGAGGAAUACCGGUGGCGAAGGCGGCCCCCUGGACAAAGACUGACGCUCAGGUGCGAAAGCGUGGGGAGCAAACAGGAUAGAUACCCUGGUAGUCCACGCCGUAAACGAUGUCUACUUGGAGGUUGUGCCCUUGAGGCGUGGCUUCCGGAGCUAACGCGUUAAGUAGACCGCCUGGGGAGUACGGCCGCAAGGUUAAAACUCAAAUGAAUUGACGGGGGCCCGCACAAGCGGUGGAGCAUGUGGUUUAAUUCGAUGCAACGCGAAGAACCUUACCUGGUCUUGACAUCCACAGAACUUUCCAGAGAUGGAUUGGUGCCUUCGGGAACUGUGAGACAGGUGCUGCAUGGCUGUCGUCAGCUCGUGUUGUGAAAUGUUGGGUUAAGUCCCGCAACGAGCGCAACCCUUAUCCUUUGUUGCCAGCGGUUAGGCCGGGAACUCAAAGGAGACUGCCAGUGAUAAACUGGAGGAAGGUGGGGAUGACGUCAAGUCAUCAUGGCCCUUACGACCAGGGCUACACACGUGCUACAAUGGCGCAUACAAAGAGAAGCGACCUCGCGAGAGCAAGCGGACCUCAUAAAGUGCGUCGUAGUCCGGAUUGAGUCUGCAACUCGACUCCAUGAAGUCGGAAUCGCUAGUAAUCGUGGAUCAGAAUGCCACGGUGAAUACGUUCCCGGGCCUUGUACACACCGCCCGUCACACCAUGGGAGUGGGUUGCAAAAGAAGUAGGUAGCUUAACCUUCGGGAGGGCGCUUACCACUUUGUGAUUCAUGACUGGGGUGAAGUCGUAACAAGGUAACCGUAGGGGAACCUGCGGUUGGAUCACCUCCUUA